Molecule: small RNA, 283 nt
Filed under: Arabidopsis thaliana (thale cress)
Lineage: Eukaryota; Viridiplantae; Streptophyta; Magnoliopsida; Brassicales; Brassicaceae
Source: RNAcentral
AAAUACGAUUUCAUUGCAUGUCCUAACGGAUACCAUUAUACCAGUACUAAUGCACCGGAUCCCAUCAGAACUCCGCAGUUAACAUGCUUGGGCGUGAGUAGUACUAGGAUAAGUGACCUCCCAGAAAGUCCUCAUGUCGCAUCCUUUUCUUUUCUUUUUUUUGGUUAAAACUUUAACUUUUAAACUAUGCGCCCAAACUUAGCAUGUAAUAGCUUUUCAGAAAGCCCAAUGAGAUCCCUCCGACGAAAGAAGCAAGACAAUGGUAACUACUAUUGUUUUUUUU